Long non-coding RNA from Homo sapiens (human), 735 nucleotides. Lineage: Eukaryota; Metazoa; Chordata; Mammalia; Primates; Hominidae. The record is from Ensembl.
GUGGUUUCUUCUUCUCUGCAAUCCCUCUUGCACUGGCCAAUCGGAUCAUUCUCCAACACAGUUCUUACAGUGGCUACUACAUCAGGUGCACUCUCUUCUUCCUGGCAGGAAUAUUUUAGAAGGCUUUACCAAGAAUGUGGAAUUACACUAUGGCUUUAAGAAUUUGGCCAGAAAGAGGUCAGAGGAGGACAGAGCAAACUUCAGAAAUAGACAAGGUCUUACUCUGCUACCCAAGCUGGAGUGCAAUGGUAUGAUCAUAGCUUACUACAGCAUUGAACUUCUGGAUUCAAGAGAUUCCCCCACGUUGGCCACCCAAGUAGCUGGAACUACAGGCAUGUACCAUCACACCCAGCUUAUAUAUGUAUAUAAUUAUUUUUGGACAUACAGGAUCUCACUACAUUGCCCAAGCUGCUCUCAAACUCCUGGCCUCAAGAUGAUCCUUCUGCUUCUGCCUCUCAAAGUGCUGGGAUUAUAGGCAUAAACCACCAUGCUCAGUCCAAUGUUUUUAAUAUCAGAUACUCUUUAGUAUCUUUAAGAUUUUAUACACUGUGUAUGCAUUAGUUAAUUAUUAAAUUUUAAAGAAGUAAAUUAUAUGGAUAAAAGUAUAUCCACAUAUACCAAUUAAGAGACAAAGAUUAGCAGAACAUAUUAAAAACAUGACUCAAUUACCUGCUGUCUACAAGGAACUUACUUCAAAUAUUUGAAAUAAAUAUAACAAGUAAAUGGAUAGAAAAA